AUACGUAGGUGGCAAGCGUUGUCCGGAUUUACUGGGUGUAAAGGGCGUGUAGGCGGAGAUGCAAGUCAGGAGUGAAAUCUAGGGGCUCAACCCCUAAACUGCUUUUGAAACUGUAUCCCUUGAGUAUCGGAGAGGCAGGCGGAAUUCCUAGUGGAGCGGUGAAAUGCGUAGAUAUUAGGAGGAACACCAGUGGCGAAGGCGGCCUCCUGAACGACAACCGACGCUGAGGCGCGAAAGCGUGGGGAGCAAAAAGUAUUAGAUACCCUGGUAGUCCACGCUGUAAACGAUGAAUACUAGGUGUGGGGGGACUGACCCCCUCCGUGCCGCAGUUAACACAAUAAGUAUUCCACCUGUGGAGUACGAUCGCAAGAUUGAAACUCAAAGGAAUUGACGUGG
RNAcentral lists this ribosomal RNA (396 nucleotides) under uncultured bacterium. RNAcentral's name for it is "partial 16S ribosomal RNA". It matches the Rfam family "Bacterial small subunit ribosomal RNA", at positions 523 to 918 of the family's 1533-position model. The record is from RNAcentral.